This 253-nucleotide ribosomal RNA is filed under the name uncultured bacterium. Its description in RNAcentral is "partial 16S ribosomal RNA". It matches the Rfam family "Bacterial small subunit ribosomal RNA", at positions 524 to 776 of the family's 1533-position model. The record is from RNAcentral.
UACGGAGGGUGCGAGCGUUAAUCGGAAUUACUGGGCGUAAAGGGUGCGUAGGUGGUUUAUUAAGUUAUCUGUAAAAUCCCCGGGCUUAACCUGGGAAGGCCAGAUAAGACUGAUAGACUCGAGUAUGGGAGAGGGUAGUGGAAUUUCCGGUGUAGCGGUGAAAUGCGUAGAGAUCGGAAGGAACACCAGUGGCGAAGGCGGCUACCUGGCCUAAUACUGACACUGAGGCACGAAAGCGUGGGGAGCAAACAGG